AAUUAUUUUAAAAAAUUAAUUAAUUUCGGUCUUAAGUAAAAGCAAACAGCCGAGAAAGAGAACACGUGUAACAGUAUAAUGGAUCCGUGCAGCUCUUAAAGUGACAGUAGUCUAAUAUUCCUGCUGUCUGUCAUUCAUGUUAAAUAGAAAAUCUCUCGCUG
Molecule: long non-coding RNA, 161 nt
Organism: Sinocyclocheilus anshuiensis
Lineage: Eukaryota; Metazoa; Chordata; Actinopteri; Cypriniformes; Cyprinidae
Exons: 3
Source: RefSeq, a predicted model, not a curated record